Long non-coding RNA from Phragmites australis (common reed), 1422 nucleotides. RefSeq lists it as uncharacterized. NCBI's taxonomy places the organism in Eukaryota, Viridiplantae, Streptophyta, Magnoliopsida, Poales, Poaceae. The record is from RefSeq and is a predicted model, not a curated record. The transcript has 3 exons.
CAAAAGUUUCGGCCCUCCCCUUCACUCUUCACUUGGGAUUCAGAUUUCAGAAGCUGCAUCUCGCCGGCGACGUCAUCAGCCUCGAGCUGGCGGCCAGCGAGCACGGGCGGACGCUCGGCUCUCUCUACCUGGCGCCGAGCUCAAGGUCGCAACGUCCUCGUCCCGGUCCACGAUGGCCUACUCCUUGCGUCUUACAGUGACCUGAGAGAGAGAGCACAAAGACUGGCUCUACUGAAUUGAAGAUUUCAGUAUUCUAUUGUCCUGUGCCCCAUGUUCAUCUUCCUUGUCACUAGAUUCAUUUCUUGAGCCACCCAUUCCCAAUGGGUCUCCUCAGCAUCAUCAGAAAGAUAAAGCGCAAGGAAAAGGAGAUGCGGGUUCUCAUGGUGGGCGUAGACAGCUCGGGUAAGACAACAAUCAUGCUGAAGAUCAAAGGGGAGGACACCAGUGUCAUCAGUCCAACCCUUGGCUUCAAUAUCAAGACCAUCAAGUAUCAAAAGUAAUUCAUUUCUUUUUCUGUUAAUUAGCAGGCAAAGUGGCAGAACAAGAAUUCUUUCUUAGAUCAUUUUAAUGCUUCAGUAGACAAGAAAAUUGGCAUUAUCUACUAACCACUAACCACGAGUGUUCUGAAGGAUUUCAUAAAAUAAGAAUCUCCGCAAAUGCAAUGUUAAAACAACCAUAGUAUAUCCAAUUUGAGUUUGUGUGACGUAGUUGCUAAACCAUUUUUUAGGAUCACCUAAAUUAAAUCAUUUUCCUGAACUCUUGCAAGUAUCUCCUAUAUUUUGCAUUUUUUUUUUAUCUCCAGGGAAUGCUAGUCUUACUAUUUCCGGAAGAUAAUUUUUCAUGACAGUUUUGCAAUGCAACCUUCUGAAUUGUUAAUUUAGUGAUGUGGCAGCCUAAUUUCAACAGACGCGGGUAGAAAAAUCUACACUCCUGCAAGUGUUAGAUCUAGCACUAGCAGGCUUGCAGCUGAGAGUUUCGAAGCCUUACCCUAUGCUGAUGUGUAGCGCCGGCUCAUAGUGGUUUAUAGAAACUAAGUGAAUUGUGGUUUGGAGCAGCCACCACAAGGAACAACUGAAAGCCACGAUAAGGUGAAUUGUGGUUUGAAGCAGCUUUUCUGUUCAGUGAUCCCAAGUCCUGAUAGCCAUAUUGUCGGCACAAAGAAGUCUUCUGGUUGCCACCACUUGCAUAAACCUUUCCAUGGAAGAAUAUGUUCUUUCAGUUGUUGUUUGUGCUGCAGUCCUUUAGGUGUAACAUCCAUCCUGCAAGAUAGCACAACCACCCGGAGAGUUUCAGAUAACAUCUCAGGCAAUUGGAAAAACUCCGUGAAACACAAGUGCUGGCCAAGGUCCCAACUAGACUGUCACACAUAAGUACCGAGACAACCGUAGAUAACUGGGGCAUAGUUGCCAUUUAGGAACAAUC